This 483-nucleotide ribosomal RNA is filed under the name uncultured bacterium. RNAcentral describes it as "bacterial SSU rRNA". It matches the Rfam family "Bacterial small subunit ribosomal RNA", at positions 328 to 802 of the family's 1533-position model. The record is from RNAcentral.
AUGAAACACUCCUACGGGAGGCAGCAGUGGGGAAUUUUGGACAAUGGGGGCAACCCUGAUCCAGCAAUGCCGCGUGAGUGAAGAAGGCCUUCGGGUUGUAAAGCUCUUUUGUCAGGGAAGAAACGGUAGUAGCUAAUAUCUAUUACUAAUGACGGUACCUGAAGAAUAAGCACCGGCUAACUACGUGCCAGCAGCCGCGGUAAUACGUAGGGUGCAAGCGUUAAUCGGAAUUACUGGGCGUAAAGCGUGCGCAGGCGGUUGUGUAAGUCAGAUGUGAAAUCCCCGGGCUCAACCUGGGAAUUGCAUUUGAGACUGCACGGCUAGAGUGUGUCAGAGGGGGGUAGAAUUCCACGUGUAGCAGUGAAAUGCGUAGAUAUGUGGAGGAAUACCGAUGGCGAAGGCAGCCCCCUGGGAUAACACUGACGCUCAUGCACGAAAGCGUGGGGAGCAAACAGGAUUAGAAACCCGUGUAGUCCGAAGUUC